GUAAGACCGCAUCAUGAAUAUGCUGUGCAAUUUUUGGCACCUGUUCUAAAGAAGGAUAUUAUGGCACUGGACAAAGUGCAGAGGGGGGGAUACAAAAUAAAAAAAAAAGGAAUGGAGCAUAUCAGCUAUGAAGAAAGGUUAACAAAUUUAAACCUCUUUAGUUUAGGAAAAUGGCACCUCAGAGGGGAUAUGAUAACAUUAUACAAAUAUAUCCGUGACAAAUAUAAACCAUUGUGUGGAAAUCUAUUCACAAACAGGAAUAUACAUAGGACAUGAGGUCAUGCGUUUGGACUGGAAGAAAGAAGAUUUAGUCUAAGGCAAAGGAAAGAUAUUUUGUUUUUGUUUUGUUUUUUAACCAUAGGAACAAUAAGGAUGUGGAAUUCUCUGCCUGAAGAACUAUUUUUAUCAAAAUCUGUACAGUAUGUUUAAACAGCAACUAGAUGCAUACUUGCAAAAACAAUAUUCCAUUAUAAUGAAC
Molecule: non-coding RNA, 478 nt
Organism: Pelobates cultripes (western spadefoot toad)
Lineage: Eukaryota; Metazoa; Chordata; Amphibia; Anura; Pelobatidae
Source: the annotation of a GenBank genome assembly